AUGCUCGCCACCAUGGCGGUGGCGGACACGCCGGCCGACUGCCCGUACCCGUGCCUCCCGCCACCAACCUCAGGAGGCGUCAUCAACAGCUACCCGCCACCGCCACCAGCAGGAACGGGAACCGGAACAGGUGGCGGCGACGGCUUCGGCGGCAGCUACCCGCCACCUCCGCCAGGGAGCUUCCAGCUGACCCCGCCUGGGGUCAUGCCGGGGUUCCUCGCGCCACCGUUCAGCGCCGUCCCGGCCGGGCCGGCUCCUCCGCCGCCGAACCCGGUCCUGCCGUGGUUCCCGUGGUACUACCAGCACGACAACCCGAUCACGGGGUCGACCGCGUCGGCGUCCUCGCCACCGGCGGUGCACCGUGGGACGACGUGCAUGGUGGCCCUGCUGCUCCAACUGUGUUUAGCGAUUCUUCUUCGGGCGCCGUAG
Molecule: ribosomal RNA, 429 nt
Filed under: Triticum aestivum (bread wheat)
Lineage: Eukaryota; Viridiplantae; Streptophyta; Magnoliopsida; Poales; Poaceae
Description: partial small subunit ribosomal RNA
Source: RNAcentral